UCCAUUCGCUUGGGGGAGGGGGAUGACUGCAGUGUUAGCGUUUUCUCUCUGUGCAAAGUAAACAGUGUAAAUUGAACGUAUCCAGAGAGCUAUACAUAUAUAUAUAUAUGUAUGGUCGAUUAGCCAUUGACCGAAUUAUUUUCGGCCAAGAAUUGUGAGUCGUCCUUAAUUGGACCCUGCGGAACGAUAAAUUCGAGCGGCAGAAGAAAACGGAAGAGAGGAGCGAAGAGGCUGGACGCGUUACGGUGACGUCAAAGAUUUCCCUGGAAAAUCGUGCGAAACGGCUCUAGCCUAGUCGAUACUCUCGAGCGAAAAUUUCGAGAAAAUUUCGACGAGCAAGGAGCGACAACUCGAUCGAACUUGAAAACAGAUAUACAUAUAUAUAUAUAUAUACGCGCGAGUGAAAGAGGAGAGUUGUGGAUCGGUUCGAAGAAAUGAGAGGGCAAAGGAUGAGGAGGAAGAAAGGCGGCGUCGACGAGGGAUCGUCGACGACCUGAUGCGGCAUCUCUGAUCCGAAAGAGCGCGGCGAGAUCUCGGCUGCGCUCGUGGCGAUCGUGGGACGAAGAAAAUGAACGAAAGCGCGGUCUACCUGCUCGGCUCGGAGGAAGAGGGAAACGUGGGUGGGAACCAGCUGAACCGAAGCUUCUACAGCGCGAGCUACCCGCCCCAGAACCGCAGCAACGAGGAUCUGUGGAACUUGGCCACGGAUCGGGCCGGCCUGGCCGUACUCCUGUUCCUGUUCUCGGUGGCGACCGUGUUCGGCAACACGUUGGUGAUCCUCGCCGUGGUCAGGGAGAGGUAUCUCCACACGGCGACCAAUUACUUCGUCACCUCGUUGGCGUUCGCCGAUUGCCUGGUCGGGUUGGUCGUGAUGCCGUUCAGCGCCAUUUACGAGGUGUUGGAGAACCGAUGGCUGUUCACCACCGACUGGUGCGACGUGUGGCGCUCGUUGGACGUCCUAUUCUCCACAGCGUCGAUCCUCAAUCUGUGCGUCAUCAGCCUGGAUCGUUACUGGGCUAUCACCGACCCGUUCACCUAUCCGAGCAAGAUGAGCAGGAAACGGGCCGCCAUACUCAUCGCGAUCGUGUGGAUCUGCUCGAGCGCCAUCUCGUUCCCGGCGAUCGCCUGGUGGAGGGCCGUGCGAACGGAGGAGGUGCCCGAGGACAAGUGCCCGUUCACCGAGCACCUCGGAUAUCUCAUCUUCUCGUCGACCAUCAGCUUCUACUUACCCCUGUUCGUAAUGGUGUUCACUUACUACAAGAUAUACAGGGCGGCCGUGAUCCAGACCAAGAGCCUGAAACUGGGCACCAAGCAAGUUUUGAUGGCCUCCGGUGAAUUGGAGCUCACUCUGAGGAUACAUCGGGGCGGUGGAACCAACACCGACGCGAGACACCUGUUCCGCACCGCCUCGAGCACGCCCGAGGACCUCCAGGAUCUCGAGGAGCCGCUCACUACCGUCCAGCACAACAACUGUUUAACCAGGAUCCCGUCCACGAGGAUCAAUAAACAGCACAGGGGCAACAAUUUCUCCCUGUCGCGAAAACUGGCCAAGUUCGCCAAGGAGAAGAAGGCGGCCAAGACGUUGGGGAUCGUGAUGGGCGUCUUCAUCAUCUGUUGGCUCCCUUUCUUCGUCGUCAACCUCUGGUCGGGUUUUUGCUCCCAGUGCAUAUGGCAGGAGAAGAUCGUGUUCGCCGCUGUUACGUGGCUGGGUUGGAUAAACAGCGGAAUGAAUCCGGUCAUAUACGCCUGCUGGAGCAGAGAUUUUCGUAGAGCGUUCGUGAGGAUCCUGUGCGCCUGCUGCCCCGGACGAGUAAGGCGGCGGUAUCAACCUGCAUUCAGAUGUAAACCAAGUCAAAGAUUCGCAUCGGGAAGAUACUACUCCGCUUAUUCCCUUCACCACGUGCGAAGCAGCCGAGAGAGUUCGUGCGAGCAAACCUACAUUUAACGAUGGGACUAUACGGCCGCGACGUGGAUUUUCGUCAAUCGUUGGACAAUAUACCCGAACGAUAUGCCAUUCUAGAAUUCCCGCAUCGUCCCCCCCCCCCCCUUGUUGUCGUUCCUCCAUUCGUUGCCGUCGAACCAUCCCCCUCUUCACGAAUCAUAUCCUAUCCCCCUCCCUCCUCCUCCCCGGCAGGAGAGAGUACACUUAGAGAGUACAGAGAGAUUGUCGAAGGCGAAGGAGAUUGUCACCAACCCCGUAUAACAUAGUCUCGUACGUUUCCGGGGUGAGUACGAGCGGCGAGGCGAGCCGCGUGAGUUACAGCAGCGUGAGCCAGAGCAGCGACGGUGCCGGAAGCGUGCUGCCCAGCGGCGGGAUGUGACGUCACACGGGGGCCCGGUCUGGGCCUCGACGAGAGCGCGCUAUCCGUUUCCGUGACACGUGAUUGUAGGCUCGCUUCUCGAGGAAUCGUGUCGGGCGAACUUCCACUCGGAAAUGCACGUUCCAGAUCUCCGAGUUCGGAGCCGUGGUGAACCAACAUCGCCUCCUCCCUCCGUGUGUGCAUCCGCGCGUCAUGUGAGCGUGAGUGUGUACGUGUGCGCUUCCGACUAGACGAAUCGAGGAUAAACGACGUGCUUCCGUUCUUCCUUAUCGUCGAGCUUUUUAAAACACCGGUGACGAAAAGUGGACCACGAAGAAGCGUCACGCGCGAACCGGGACGCCCCAAACCGGGAUACUUGUACCGGUUAUUGUGUGCCCCUUUGCCUUAAUCGUUUCUCUUCUUCUUCUUCUUUUUAUUGAUAGAAAUUUUUGUUAGAUAGUUUUUUGUAAUUUUUGUAAUGUGUUUAUAAAAAUUUAUUGAUCGAGAAUCCGAUUAUAUAAGUGAAGUGAUGCUGAGAUAAUGAUGAGAAUUAAGAAAGAAAAUUGUUAAUUAAAUUAAUAAUUGAAAUUGGUUUUUCAAAAAUUGAUUUCAUUCAGGGGCGCACAAUGAUCGGUGUAAAUAGCCUGUUAUUUCUUGUACAUAGAGUAGUAUUCGCGUUUUGUACAUCCUAUAACGAAGGAUUUAGAGAAAAUCGAAAGACGGUAAAAGGCCGUAAAUCGUGCUCGGCCGAUAGCUCGUUACCGUUUUUACGUUUCGGAUACCUUCGUGAUACUACUGUAGCCUUUUAGCGAGAAACCUUCGUACAGGGAAUCGUAAAACGAUCUGGUGAUGCGCGAACGAGAGUAUCUAUCCGAGUUAUCCUUUACUUUCUUCUCCAACGAAUUGUGUCUAACCGUUUCGUUUCGAUGCGAUUACCGCUUUUCCGAGUCGAAUUUUAAGAAAAGAAAAAAGAAAAGAAAAAAAAAGUCUACGAAAAUACGUUCCUGUUCCUGCUUUCCUGUUGCACCUUUAAAAGACUGACGAUCGGAAUGUUCGGCAACGUCGAACACGGAAUUGGUUCUCCCUCUCUCCGAGUUUCCAGGAAACGGCGAUCUCUCGUGUCGAUGCAUUGGUAGCCGGUUACACGAAACUGAAAACCAUACGCAAAAUUAAAAUGAUGCGGGAAAAUAAUACGUGUGUGUUCUUCGAGGAAAAAAAAAAUUACAAUAUCGCAGGAGCGUAAUAUUCUUCCAGUCAUCGUUAAUCACGUACACGAGAGACGCAAAGAAAAUCGUUACGAUUCGCAAACGCAUUCGCAGUAACACGCACAGUUUAGAUGGAAUGAAAGUUAAGGUGAAAUUAUCACAAAUGCGAUCGUAUAUUACUUACAAGCGGCAGAAAAAAUAUAUUUGUCAAGUCGUCGUCGAACGAAACUUUGCGAAACGAAAUCGAUAACAGAAUCAAUCUUUCUUUAUUAGCAACAAGAUUAUAUGAUGUAGAAUGAGUUGCGCAUCGGGGCCGUUGUAACUUAAUCGAAGAAUAAAAUAACAAAGUUGUAAUUUGGAUGAAUGAAUUCGUUCACACUGAUUGCCAAUUUCUGAAAAAAAAAAUAAUUGGUUAGUUCAAUUAAAGAUAUUAAUUGAUCAAAUUAUAUUUAUCAUAAAUAUUGUUAAUUUAUAUACUUCGAAAUUGUUUUUCUAAUAUCAAGACCUAUUUGAAAAUUAAAAAGUAAUAAAUGGAAUUAUUGUAUCGGACAAUCUUUAUUCGAUAGACAGAUGUCAACUCGUUCUACUAUCAAUGGCGGAUAUUUUUGCAAAAUAAUUAUUUAUUUUAUCUAUUUUAUUUGAACAUAAACAUUCGUUGUUGUACAUAAAACAAUUAUCGCGCAAUUGUAAAUAUUAGGACAUUGUAAAAUUAACUUAUGUGAAAUGUAUACAUAUAUGUAUGAGACAUUGUAACAAAGUGUGUAUCAAUACGAAUAUAUACAAACGUUUCCUCGAAUAAAAAUACAUCAAUUCAAUAAUCCUAUCUCGGUAAAAAAAUUGCAAAAAAAUUUGAUUAAACAUUUGGUGUUCAU
Apis laboriosa (Himalayan honeybee) is the source of this 4377-nucleotide RNA transcript. It is a transcript of the gene named dopamine receptor 2, with no coding region annotated. NCBI's taxonomy places the organism in Eukaryota, Metazoa, Arthropoda, Insecta, Hymenoptera, Apidae. The transcript is spliced from 5 exons. The record is from RefSeq and is a predicted model, not a curated record.